RNAcentral lists this long non-coding RNA (920 nucleotides) under Dasypus novemcinctus (nine-banded armadillo). RNAcentral describes it as "lncRNA (ENSDNOG00000050423.1)". Lineage: Eukaryota; Metazoa; Chordata; Mammalia; Cingulata; Dasypodidae. The record is from RNAcentral.
AGCCGCCGGCGCUCGGCCGCCGGCAGGACCUGAUGCGCAUCCAUAUUAGCGCGUCCGCGAGCGGGCAGCCGGCCAGCCCCCCGCCGCCCCGGCCCGCCGCGGCGUUUAUUUUUAACCCGCACCCGCCGGCCCUCGGAUGGUGCGCGCACCGCCCGCCAGAGACAUCUUCCCAGCGCUGCUCUCCAUCUUCCGCCUCUCUCCCCCAACAUCCCUCCCCCCCCCCCCCCGCCUGUGGGAGGGGAAACUUUGCUCCUACAUACUUUCGAGUCACUCGGGCCGGGAGCGCGGAGAUGACGGCGCCCGCCGCAAGGAUCCUGAAGGGAGAACUCACGCAGAAGACCCAAGAGCAAACAGGUGCAAAGUCUUGCAAUAGCUCCAAGCGGCUGGUUCCUGACUGCUUCUGAAACAGCUUCUCAGUGUCAACAAGUGAUACCAGGAGAAGAAAAAAGGAAGUAGACACAGACUCAUUUCCUUACUACAUGUGGAUAAUAGCUAGAGCCGGGGAGAUCUCCAUAGUUUAUCAGUUGGGGCAGAAAAUGGAGGUAAUUGGCAGUGGGAGAGGGUGGGGAGGGGGGAUUUUCUUCUUUCCAUUUUCUGGGUUCAGCCAGGUAUAUUACCUGCUCGUAUCUUUUAAGAGUCAGACUUUUAAACGUUAGUUUGGAAGUUGGUUGUAGUACUGGGAGAGUUGACUUCUCAACUGUCAUAAAAAUUUGGGCUCCCUGUUCAAAUCACUAUAUUGCAGCAGUGGAGUUAAGUGGAAACUGAAGGGCUCAUCAUUAGUUUAUAAGUCUAGAACAUUCCUGUAGUAUAAAUGACCGUAUGUUAUUUGGGGGGUGCCGGCCACCUGGCCACUCCCUGGUUUCCAAAUUGUCGGUUUGGCCUCUCCCAACUCUGCUUAAUGAAAGGCAAAGAAAUCUGUC